This 85-nucleotide transfer RNA is filed under the name Gymnascella aurantiaca. Its description in RNAcentral is "tRNA-Tyr". It matches the Rfam family "tRNA". Rfam says of the family: Transfer RNA (tRNA) molecules are approximately 80 nucleotides in length. Their secondary structure includes four short double-helical elements and three loops (D, anti-codon, and T loops). Further hydrogen bonds mediate the characteristic L-shaped molecular structure. tRNAs have two regions of fundamental functional importance: the anti-codon, which is responsible for specific mRNA codon recognition, and the 3' end, to which the tRNAs corresponding amino acid is attached (by aminoacyl-tRNA synthetases). tRNAs cope with the degeneracy of the genetic code in two manners: having more than one tRNA (with a specific anti-codon) for a particular amino acid; and 'wobble' base-pairing, i.e. permitting non-standard base-pairing at the 3rd anti-codon position. Lineage: Eukaryota; Fungi; Ascomycota; Eurotiomycetes; Onygenales; Gymnoascaceae. The record is from RNAcentral.
AGGAAGGUUUCGUAUGUUGGUUUGCGAGUUGAGCUGUAAACUCAAUGGCUUUAUGUCGUCGAAGGUUCAAUUCCUUCUCUUCCUA